This is a long non-coding RNA of Sapajus apella (tufted capuchin), 2832 nucleotides long. RefSeq lists it as uncharacterized. NCBI's taxonomy places the organism in Eukaryota, Metazoa, Chordata, Mammalia, Primates, Cebidae. The transcript has 2 exons. The record is from RefSeq and is a predicted model, not a curated record.
UUGGCCUCACAAAGUGUUAGGAUUACAGGUGUGAGCCACCGCACCUGGCCUAAGAUUUUUUUUUUAAGCAUGAUCACGAUCAUAAAAUUCUUUUUGCACCUAGUUGUUCCAUUUGUUUUUCAUAAUUAUCAAAUAAUUAUGGCAUAUAAGACUUGAAAACAUUGAAGAUGGAUUUGAUAAUCCAAUUCUCAGGAGGUCUAGUUCUGGCCAUCUUCCUAAUUUUUGAAAACCAUGAAAGGACCAUUUCCCUGGGUGUUUUUGCUUACUCCAGAUGUGAAAUCCAGCUGACCAUUCUUUAAGAUUUUCUCAGUUUCAGCACUUUGCCACUCCCAGAUUUUCAAAAGAGUUUAAGUAUGACAGAUUCUCUGUAUUAACAAUGUAAUAUUUUUAUGAGCUAUAAGGAUCACAAAUUAGAAGCAAAUUUGGACGCUUAUUUUCUAAUACUUUGGUGAGAUGUAUGCAUCUUGCAAAAUAUUCAUCUGUUAUAGAAAGGCAUCAGGAUUCCUGAAGUAUUUUGCUGAAAAUGUCAGAAUGCGUUCAACUUCAUUAGGUUUUUUUAUUGCUUUAAUCUAAAUAUUUUGGAUCCUUUGUUGUACUCAAGUUGAGUUCCUUGAAAAUACAUGCAUAUUUUACAGUUAUAAUAUGAGAUAUAACCUGGUGGGACCUCCCCCCAUUUCUGGAACUCUAGGUCAACUGUUAUCCCAUGACCAAAAUCCAAAGGAAUGGUCCUCAUAUGUUAUUGGUAUAUUCUGUAUUGACAUGAAAUAAUAAACACCAUAGUACUAACACAGCAGUACCUUUUGUUUGGGGACUAUUUGAUUAGAAUUAUGUGUUUCUCAUAAGUUCUUUAAAAAUGGUCUUGGUGACCUGCCACUUGCCUGAUGGGAAUAUCCCAACUUUCCUGGAGCUACAGAAAAAAAAACACCCCACACAUUGGCAAACACCAACCCAAAGUUCAAGUCUUUUUAUAGUAACAUAGAAGCAGACAUAUGAAAUUAUUAUGCCACAUUUCUGCCAGAUUUUGACGUUUAAAAUAGUCUCUGUUAUAAAGCCACCAAGCCCUGCAGCUGGCGAGAGUUUCUGCAAUAACAGUCUAUACAUGUUCACUAAGGCAGCUGCCAACCCUCGUGGCAGGUAGGCACGUAGGUAGAUGAGAUCUUCUAGCUAUAAGGAGGAGAAGCCAGGCUGCAGGGAAGGAAGGACAUGUCAGUCAAGGCCAGGAGGUCUCUCCCAGAGCCAGAGUUAAAGAACGCAUGUGGUCCUGUUUGGGUUGCUUUGUCUUUUCAAAAUGUGGGCUGUAUUUCACCCCUUUUGAAAUGUUUAUCCUGAACUUCCUUAUUUUUAAAAUCUUUCCCUUCUAAUGAACAAAAGCAACUGAGGGAUUGCUUUUAACAUUCUGAAUUAUUUCCCCUUUCUCAUUUUUGUGCAAUAUUAACUGUGAGAAGAAUUUUAAGAUACAAAGAAAGGAGGCGUGCCUCCCCAUCUCUAGCAUUUCUAAGGGUUUUUUCCCUUCCUAAAUUCAUCUCAAUUAACUUUGAUUUCUUUCUUUAGAAAACCAUGUGCUGAAAUAAUGCUUUGCCAGAUGUGAGAAUGAAUUCCUCCCCCUACAAACACAUGCUUAAGCUUCAUUUUAGUUCUAAUAUUUUGGUCUGUUUUUUUUUUUUUUUAAUUUAAUCUUACACCAUAUUUAUCUGGCUUUUGGAUUUGUUUGCAAGAAUAUCUGACUUCAUCUUGGAGAGGUACUAAUAUUUUAAAGUUAUUGCUUGUUUGUUGUUGGUGCAGCCGUUUUCUUUUUAGUUUGUAAUUUUAAAUUUAGCCUGUUUCUUAUAUAUAUAACCUGUUUUUGCCAAUUUCUGAUAUAAAUCACACAUUUGUUCAUGUUUCUCAUCAUAGGGAAGCCAAAGCUAACAUUACAUAGUGUGUUAUUCCCCUCCGAGCCUUGGUCGAGACUCAGGCCCAGGAAGGAGGGAGGCAGCAGCCAUCAGCCCUGUUUCCUGUUCUGAGAGUGUAAAACACGCUACCCAAUGCUGCCAUGGGAAGGGAGUAUCUGUUUUGCAAAAAUUAUUUAAGAAGGCUUAAUUUUUGUCUUAACGAGCAUGAUUACACUAAGUCUAUGGUGCUGAUUUUACUUUGAAAUGCACAUCUAUGAGUUUAGACUCCUUGAUUUGGCCACUCAGUUGUGACCAGAAGAGAAAGCCGGUGAUAUUCAGGUUCCCUAACAUCUAGGAUGCCAUUUCUGUAUUGUCAACUUCUGUGCCACUGCCUUGUAUUAUUUUUGUUUGUGGAUGAGUUUGCUUUUGCUGUCUAUUCAAGAUGAUUUUGUUCCUUGUGCCUGAUUCUGGUUCUCUGUCUGGCAUAACUGACUCUUUGGUACAUUUUACAUUACUGUUUGAACUCCAGGCUUCAUCUUUCCCAGGUGUCACAGGGCUGUCAUCCUAUAGAUUCUAAUGGAGUUGAGGGUGGGGGCUUGCAUAUGCACAGAGGCCUGACCACCACUUUGAGAGACAGAGGUUCAAGUUUGUUUGAUUGUUCUGCCUUGCUGAUUCUCAGUGCAGUGUGUGUCUGGCAAAGAAGUUUGUGCACGUGGGAAGCUAGGGAAAAAACUUGGUCCUGGGGCAGGUAGGGGAUAGAGGGACAGAGUACAUGUGGGGUUGGGGAGUGACAGUUUCCUAAAGAUUCUGAUCCUUUUAGGUGGGGAGGGAGGUCUCCAUCUAAGAAAGGCUGCUUCUAGGGUGCAAUGACUGAUGGGAAACACCCUUAUUUACUUAAAGGUCAAGUCAAAGAAGAAGAAGAGGGUGCUAAUUUAAACACAUGUCCCAAAUGAAAAAAAAA